Long non-coding RNA from Oreochromis aureus, 1637 nucleotides. The record is from Ensembl. Lineage: Eukaryota; Metazoa; Chordata; Actinopteri; Cichliformes; Cichlidae.
GAAAGAUUCACUCACUUUUUAACAAUCCCACCAAAUAUUGUAGAUUAUGAUUGUAGGAGGCCUGUCUGAACUUAAUAUACAGAUUUCAUGCUGCUGUUAACUGUGUGAUUUCUGAUGGUUAUGUUUAAGAGGUUUGUAUUGAAAGUAUUUUGUGAUAGUUUAUGGUGGGUCACGUGAUUUGGGCGGUAUUAAUUGCUUAUUUGAGGCACCUGUUCAUGCAGUGUCAGUUGGAGUAGAGAGGACCGAUGUGUGGCUUUAUGUUUUGGGAUUGCUGAGUAUUUGGUUCUUUUGUGUGCUUUGCUUUAGAUUUGUUUCCCUUAGUUUUCUUUUGUUGCUAAACAUUUAAGUUCUUGGUGAAUCACUGUUUUGGAGAAGGCGGCACACAAGUAUUCAGGUCCAGUCUCACCUUCUCAGCAGCUUUUUGUUUGUUCCUGAAGUUGCUGAAAUCCAUCAAUGGAAGAAUCUCUACAUGGAGCAUGGCAUCAAGGAUGGAGCAGGAGUAAAGUCAGCAGAUAUGGAUCCAGACACGGAGCACCUCACAAGGAAGGCGCACACCCUCAUCAAGAGCUGCUCUAUGACCACAGAAUCUGAUUAGGAGAAGAAACUUUCUGGUGCCUACUCCCCUGGGUUCAGGUGAAGACUUGUUUUCAGAACUGAACGAGGAAGUUUAGGAAAACCAGCACAUGAUGUAGAGAAAUUUCAGCACUGUGGCUCAACAGGAGCAGGUCCUGCCUUACCUGAACACCUUUGUCAGUGAUGGAGCUUCCUGUUUGUAUCUAAACACUGGGUCAGUUAAAGAGGGUGGGGGAGUAAAGAAAGGCCACUUCCUCCCUUGUGUUGGUGUAGCUGAAGUCGUAGACGUCCAAUAUUUUCUCCUCUUGCCUUUGGUGCUGUUUAUCCGAUUAUAGUCUAUACCAAAAAUAUAGAUUAUUUUGGCAUGGGCAACCCACUCUUGUAGUUUUCUCUGAGCUCUGUGUCUCUGAAAAGUAAUGUUUCCAUUCUAAAGAAAUCCAGACUGUGUUACAGAUCUACUGACCUUGUAGGAAUUCUUUUCUUUCCACUGAACUACAUCUGCUAACCAUAUCAGUGUCCUGGAGGAAGCACGUAAAGGCUUUGAACAAGAAGCUUGACUUCAUGACAGGCUUCAUGCUUCUUUGUAGUUGGCAGGUGUAGACACUGCACCAGAUUUCUGAGUUUUAACAAAUUCAUGCAUUUCAAUAAUACUUGGGACUAGAAAAGGUGGCAGUCGAGAAACAGGCAGUGCUUCAUUUAACAAAGUCAAUAUUUAUAGCAGAAAAGAUGGAGGUUUAGAUCAUUGGCCUUAAAAUAUUUAUUAAAAACCCUGGACUAACCUCCAGCCAUAACAUGUUUGGCAUAAAAAUAUUAACAGUUGUAAUUAAGACAUGUGCACAAAGUCUUUCAAAUACAGCCUCUGUCAUGUCAAGAAACAUGAACAGAACAUUUAAAAUAGCCAUCAGAUAAAAUUCACAGCAAACCUGAUAUGCUGCCAGUGCCAGCUAGCUUCCAUGUUGGAAAAACACAGAUGUGGAAGUGCUUUAAAUUUCUCUGGAAACCACCAGCAUGUGGUUUCAAAAUCAGACCUCCACACAUCAUAUUUCUGCCAUGUUGUUUUUGAG